RNAcentral lists this ribosomal RNA (209 nucleotides) under uncultured bacterium. Its description in RNAcentral is "partial 16S ribosomal RNA". It matches the Rfam family "Bacterial small subunit ribosomal RNA", at positions 1284 to 1500 of the family's 1533-position model. The record is from RNAcentral.
UGUCUCAGUUCGGAUUGGAGUCUGNAACCCGACUCCAUGAAGCUGGAUUCGCUAGUAAUCGCGCAUCAGCCACGGCGCGGUGAAUACGUUCCCGGGCCUUGUACACACCGCCCGUCAAGCCAUGGAAGCCGGGGGUGCCUGAAGUGCGCUGCCGCAAGGAGCGCCCUAGGGUAAAACCGGUGACUGGGGCUAAGUCGUAACAAGGUAUC